Long non-coding RNA from Oxyura jamaicensis (ruddy duck), 2235 nucleotides. RefSeq lists it as uncharacterized. Lineage: Eukaryota; Metazoa; Chordata; Aves; Anseriformes; Anatidae. The transcript has 4 exons. The record is from RefSeq and is a predicted model, not a curated record.
GAAAGCCUGGGCUAAAGUUGGCCAGUUACUUAAAAAGCCAUGUUAGGAAGCUACCAAUAAAAAAAGGAUUUUAGAAUGUUUUGAUAUACACUAUUUUGAGACUAUGAGAACAGCAGAAUUAUUCUCUGUCUCACAGCCAAACUCCACUACGAUUUUAUUACCAAUAAUGGACUGAGAACAUCAUUGCACUUGAAAGACAUACGAGAUUACUGAUGUUGAACAUCUGCAAAAAGAGGAAGAAUCGGGAAAUGAAGUACCUCUCAACAGCAGUUUAAGUCAACAACUAAAAUUAAUUGCCUUCACUUUCAAACUACAGUACUUGUGCAGGCUGCACAUGAACAGCCAAUUUCACACUCCUAGAAUCUGGCAAAACCUUGACAAAACAGCCUCCUCUCGGAAGCAGAGGAAAAGUCAGCCCUGCCUCUCAUGUCUCUUAAUAAGCCUGUUUGUAAAAGGGUGUAGAAAGUGAUCUUGUACUGCAGAGAUGGGUAACAUCAUUAAGAUCUAUACAGCUUUGCCUCUGCAACUUGAGAUUAUUAAGUUCAAAUAAUUUCUCAUAUCAGCUUGUAUAGAAGAUUCUGUUAGCUUGUACACAAUUACAACUUUGCAUGCAUCAUGUCAAGAAGGUCAGCAAUGCUGAAGGAGUGGCUAAGCAUGUAACUUGAACCCUGCCCAUUGUGAAAGUGCUCUUCUGGAGUGAAUGUGGGUCCCAUGCCCACAUUCCACCCUCUAGUAAGGUGUCAGUGCCAUACACAUGCUGCAUUACCUUGUCCAGUUCACAUCAAACCUCUGUGCUUCAUUUACCACACAUGGACAUCGACGCUAGGUCACCUCGGUAUGGCCCUUGAACCCAAUUUUUACACUGCGUACAUUUAUUUCUGCAGGCUGAGGAACCACAAGCUGUGCAUAAAAUAAGAUCUUUUUGAUUUGGCUGUUAAAUGAGUUCUUUUUGAUGCACCCACAAUCUAUAGUGGGAAGAAAAAGCUUGUCUGUCAGCCUUAGCCUACCUCAGAUCUACUAAGCAACUCUUAAAAUAAAUGGUAGUAAACAUGGGGUAUGUAUAUGCUUAUUUAUAUGCUGUGUUUACAAGAAGUUUUGAAUUCCAUCCCAUUGUUUGUAAAUAUUCUAUAUAACUCAUCUGUUUUUAUGUAUUAAUUUGUAUGUGUUCAUUUAUAUUUGGUAACAACCUGUUUUAUGGAAAUAUUUUAAUAAAAAUCUGUGAACAUGAGGAAAAGUAGACCACAAUACAGAUGCACAAACAAACACUCGCUGCAUGACUCUGAGGAAAAAAAAGUGUACAUGGGAUUCACACAUCAUCUAAAUAGAGAAAUGUAUAAAACAGCAAUGCAGACUGCAUGAAGCAUGUAAAUAAAGGCUAAACAGGAACACUGAUGGUCCUGCUUCCCUGCUGGCUCAUCCCACAUGCCACAGAGAGGCAGGCAAGGAGCUGGAUCAGGCCCAGCGCCCACAGGUUUGAGACAGUUCUGUGGUGUACCAUACUCACAGGGCCCAUGCAUGGGCCCUGUUGCAGCCCUCCUGUUGCAGGAGGGCUUCUCCCCACUGCAUGGUAUCCUACCCUCAGCCCCAAAUGAGCCUGGGGCAGGCAGGUCCACCUCAGGUGCCCACUGGGACUUGGGACACCUUUUUGCCUCUCCCCAUCCUUCGCACCCUCACGGGCCUCACAUACAGCUCUUGUAUGCCUUGAGAAGAAGCGAGAGGGCAGCCCGCACCCCAGCUGGUGCUUGCCCUUUGCUUUGUUCCUACCAAGCAUUAUGAUGUGGAAAUCGUGCUCCGGAUUUCCUCGAACGAACACCAGUGGCCAAGCCAUGAGGCUGGGUGUAAUUUCUGAAGCACUGACCCCCGUGAUUUCAACAUCUCCAUUUCCUGGCCCUGGCGCAACGGAGGGGGAUCCACGUGGAGCUGAGACAUUACAGGGGAAGAGGGCAAGUGACCUGGAAUUUUAUAAUAAGGAGUGUUUUGGAACACAGUGGUGGAUUUUGUAAUGAAAUGACAGUGCUGUUUAUGCUUCAGAAAGGAUUUUUGACAAAGUUCCACAUCCAAGGUUAAUACUAAUGUUUUUGGGCGCAGGAGUCAUGGAAUAAGUAAAAAGUUGGCUCAGAAAUUAAUGAUGAAGAAUGGGAAGACAAAGAAAAUAAGUGAUAUGAAAUGAAUUAUAACAGGAGGAACUGUAAACCAGAGUAGAAAAUAAUGCAUGAAGAUACAGAAGAUUGCAAU